UGACGCGUCCCCUGGAGAGACUUGUUAAAUCAAGCAUCGAAGAAGCAAUUCAUAAUUUGUAUAUUUAUGAGGAAACUUUCAGAUACAAGGACAGGGAGGUAGAG
RNAcentral lists this non-coding RNA (104 nucleotides) under Tissierella praeacuta. RNAcentral describes it as "Glycine sequence". It matches the Rfam family "Glycine riboswitch aptamer". Rfam says of the family: This family represents the bacterial glycine riboswitch. Glycine riboswitches usually consist of two metabolite-binding aptamers domains with similar structures in tandem. Lineage: Bacteria; Bacillati; Bacillota; Tissierellia; Tissierellales; Tissierellaceae. The record is from RNAcentral.